UUGAUGGCGAGUGGCGAACGGGUGAGUAAUACAUCGGAACGUGCCCUGUAGCUGGGGGAUAACUAGUCGAAAGAUUAGCUAAUACCGCAUACGACCUGAGGGUGAAAGUGGGGGACCGCAAGGCCUCAUGCUAUAGGAGCGGCCGAUGUCUGAUUAGCUAGUUGGUGGGGUAAAGGCCCACCAAGGCGACGAUCAGUAGCUGGUCUGAGAGGACGAUCAGCCACACUGGGACUGAGACACGGCCCAGACUCCUACGGGAGGCAGCAGUGGGGAAUUUUGGACAAUGGGCGAAAGCCUGAUCCAGCAAUGCCGCGUGUGUGAAGAAGGCCUUCGGGUUGUAAAGCACUUUUGUCCGGAAAGAAAUGGCUCUGGUUAAUACCUGGGGUCGAUGACGGUACCGGAAGAAUAAGGACCGGCUAACUACGUGCCAGCAGCCGCGGUAAUACGUAGGGUCCAAGCGUUAAUCGGAAUUACUGGGGCGUAAAGCGUGCGCAGGGCGGUUGUGCAAGACCGAUGUGAAAUCCCCGAGCUUAACUUGGGAAUUGCAUUGGUGACUGCACGGCUAGAGUGUGUCAGAGGGGGGGUAGAAUUCCACGUGUAGCAGUGAAAUGCGUAGAGAUGUGGAGGAAUACCGAUGGCGAAGGCAGCCCCCCUGGGAUAACACUGACGCUCAUGCACGAAAGCGUGGGGGAGCAAACAAGGAUUAGAUACCCUGGUAGUCCACGCCUUAAACGAAUGUCAACUAGGUUGGUUGGGGAAUUCAUUUUCCUUAGUAACGUAGCUUAACGCGUGGAAGUUGACCGCCUUGGGGAAGUACGGUCGCAGAUUUAAAAACUCAAAGGGAAUUGACGGGGACUCCCGCACCAAGCCGGG
RNAcentral lists this ribosomal RNA (873 nucleotides) under Ralstonia sp. RNAcentral's name for it is "bacterial SSU rRNA". It matches the Rfam family "Bacterial small subunit ribosomal RNA", at positions 85 to 937 of the family's 1533-position model. Lineage: Bacteria; Pseudomonadati; Pseudomonadota; Betaproteobacteria; Burkholderiales; Burkholderiaceae. The record is from RNAcentral.